GCCCCUGUACUCUGAGCUGGCGAACCUGGCAACUGAAGUGAUAGUUGCAAGUGUAAAAUAUUGGAGUACCAUUUUAAAAUUGUGGUUGAGGUGGUCAGUGAACAAAAAAAGACCUGUAUUCAGCUUAAGCCAUGUGGAGUAUUAAUCUCACCUAUAGUUUACACUUGCAAAUAUUAUUUCAGUUUGAGCCUUGGUUUUCAUAUUGGAGUACCAUUUCAGGGACAUGUAUCAGUAUGGUAGCUAAUGAAUGUUUGUAUCAAUGCAGCCUGAGGAAUCUACCAUUAUAGAAAUGCAAGAGCCGGUUUCACUUACCUUUGCUCUGAGGUACAUGAACUCCUUCACUAAGGCAAGCCCACUGUCAGACCAAGUCACCAUCAGCCUCUCAUCUGAACUGCCAGUGGUUGUUGAGUACAAGAUUGGCGAGAUGGGCUACAUUAGGUUUUAUUUGGCACCCAAGAUUGAAGAGGAUGAGGAAAUGAAGGCAUGAUUGUGUUUCAAGGAUCUGCUUAUUUUGCCUUCAUUAGGUUUUAUCUGGCACCCCAAGAUCGAAGAGAAUUUAGGAAAUGAAGGCAAAUUAUGUUUCAAGGAUGUGCUCAUCUUGCCUAUGUUCACAGUCGUUAAAUCAACCUCCAUUUGCUUAACGAUUGUUUGUAAGCAAAAAUGAUGUUAUGCUUGUUUUAGCUACUUGUAUCUGUGACUGGUGGUUCAUGGAUUUUCAUCUAUGAAUGUUGGUGUUUUAGGAGCUACUUGUAUCUGUGACUGUUGGUCUAUGUUACACCAGUGCUGUUAUUGUUAGGCAACGACUUAGAUUGUUUUUUUAUCAUAAAAUUCUACUGGUUGGUCCUUCGAUUGAAUGCAUUUUAGGUAUUGCGAGUGCAAUGAUUGCAACUGCAAAAACUGUCCUAAUAAUGCUAAUUGUCAUUGCUGGAGGCAUUACAAGUUGCGGAGCUGCCACUAUCAGGGGUACAAGUGCUUCCAUUGCAACAUGUACCCCCCAGGUGCCAGCACUACUGCCAAUGCCUGCAAGGCUGCAACCUCUGUAGGCGUGUGAGUGUGAGCUCUCUCCCUGCUAGGUAAUUUGGCAAUGGCAAUGUUUAUUUAGAGUAAGGCAUAUAGUGAGAUGGGAUGUGUAAACAAAAGUCUACAUAGCAGUUCCAAUGCUAUGCCUUGAACUGCUUAGCCAUCUCUCCUACAUAAGUUAUUAUGGAAAAUAAACCGAGUGAAUAGCGAGUUUUUCUUAUUCCUGCAGUAUAGGUACAACCGCAACCACUCGGGGGUUCCAUAGUUCUAUUGGAAAAAUUCCUUUUGAUCUAAGUGGAAGGAUACAUGAUUUUUUACUAGAAAUUGUGCUCCUAUAAAAUAAAAGUUUUAAUUUGGGUUUUCCUGCAACUUGGUUGAAGAAAUUGAAACCGAUAACUACUCUACCUACUUGGACAUUGUGAUUGUACAGCUGGUAUUCUGUGUCUCAAAGUUAAGAGCAUCUCUAGUGGCUUGUCUAAAUUUGGUAGUCUAUAUCUUCACAUACACAAUGGUGUAAAAAAAUUUCAUUUUAGACAACCUCAGUUUUUCAGUGGAUUGUCUAAAUUUGAUAGUCUAUAUUCCCAACGGCUACAUUUUGGACGUGGCGCGGGUGUCCUUCUCGUCUCCAACAGCUCCGGAUUGGCACGGAAGAGAGCUCACGAGGAGCAUCUCUCGUUUGGACAUCCUCGCUCGGUAGUCCAAAUAUAGACGAUGUGUAGCUAGUCUGAUGGAUGUCUAAAAUUUAGACCACGCCAUACACCAGCCGCUGGAGACGUUUUUUGGCCUCUGGUGGUCUAUAUCUGGCUUAGACUAUGGGAUACACUAGGCCACUAGAGAUGCUCUAAUUGAGAAAUAAUGUCUAGGUUUUCCCCCUUCUAUUGAGAGUAGGGAAAGCCUUUGUCUGGAAAUUAUUUUUGUUAAUUGUUGAAUUUUUUCCUAUCUGCAGGAUAUGAAAUACUCAUAUCCAAGGAGGAAAUACUGCAAGUGCAAGAACUUGAAUGUAGGCUCCCUUAUAAUUUGUUAAAACAAUAUGCAUCAUAAGGAUCUUGUUGCUAUUGAAUUUGUCUUUAAGGUAAAUAUUUUAUCCCUCAAGUCAUUUUCCAGCCCUUAAAGGUUAGUGCUUAUUUACGUAUAUUACUACCUGUGAAAAAUCUCAUUGUGAUUGUACGUGCAUAGCAUGUGCAUAUGCUUGUAUUGCUAUGUGCCAAGUGCUGCUGACCAGUCGCUGGGCACAAUGCAAACAGGCAAAAUAAUGUAUAAUGAACCUCCAAAUGAAACCAGAUAUAGUUGGUAUUUCUUGGUAGUAUUUUCUUUCAUAAUUUGAUGCUAGAGUUCUAGAGUUCGUGUUCUAUGCUUUGUGGUUAGUUUCCUUCCCAGGCUACAUCUUUAGAGCACUUAUAAUAGAAAAUACGGAAAUAAAUAGAACAAAUAAUUCUAGAUUGCUGUUGUUGUUCCUUUGUGUCUUGCACUGUCAGGAUAAUUUUUAACUGAAUUAAAAAAAAACAAUCUAAAAUAGUGCCAAAGUUAUAACGAAAGCAAAUGCUCCCUCCAUUUGAAUUGAUUGAAGUUCUAGUUUUGUCCUAAGUCAAACUUUAUAUUUGACCAAGCUAUUAAAAUGUUCUAAUAUCUACAACAGUAAUGAGAUUUUGCUUUCUAUCUGAGCACUUGCAUUACUGAUGAACUCCUUACAUUCUCUCAAGUCAGUUGAAGGCCCUUACUAUUUUUAAUAGCUAGGCAACGACUUGAAUUGUAUUCUUUAUCAUAAAAUUCUACUGAUUGGUCUUUUGAUUGAAUGCAUUUCUAGGUAUUGUGAGUGUUUUGCAUCAGGUAGAUACUGCAGUGAUUGCAACUGCAAAAACUGUUCUAGUAAUGUUAGUCAUGAGGCUGCAAGAUAGGAUGCUAUCAAUACUGUGAUGGAAAGGAAUCCUGUGGCCUUUAUGUCCAAAAUUGGGAAUAUCCCUCCACAUGCAGCCCAGAAUGGCGAGGUAGAGCACAAUGUAUAUUUCGCAAGAAUCACUUGUGUUUUCUUCUAGUUGCUGAAGGGCUUGGCUAUCUAUGUCUUGUUUUGCCUGUUUCCUUGUCGGUAUCCAAAAUUUAAACACAAUGAAGUGGCCCGUAAAUACGGCGCAAAUAAUGUUCUGAGGUCAAGACUCAUAUAUCAUUAGACUAAAGUGUCACAUCUUUAUAUUUUUAUGUGCAAUAGAUCGGUGAGAUUUGGGCAUCAACAAUGAUAGAGAGGUCAAAUCCCCUUUUUGUCAUCUAGAACUUGUCUUCCAAUGUUAGCAACUGAUACAUGGAGUCAUGGAUUGCCAUUACCUGACUCCCUUUUGGGUACAUUGCUUAAAAUCGAGAAUUUUGAGCAUGGUGUUCUGCUAGCAGUGCCGAUUCUUGAACCCAUACCAUGAGUUGAGGGCUUAAGGUUAGCAAUAGUCGUAUGACAAACAAGCCAAAUUCUGAGUUGUAUACCAAUAUGUUUGCCUUCUCAUGUCAUGUAGGAAAUCCAUUCUCAUUACAUCCCAGUUUAAAGUGGCAGAAGGCCCUGUUGUGGUUAAGCACACGAAGGGGUGCCACUGCAAGAGAUCUGAGUGCCUGAAGAAAUACCGUGAGUGCUUUCAAUCUAAUGUUCUCUGUUCAGAGAACUGCAAAUGUACGGAUUGCAAGAACUAUGAGAGCAGUGAAGAUAUGAAAGCAAUAGGCCUUAUCACCCAGUGGCACCUUGUCUAUUCACAUGAUAUGCAGAAUCCUGCUAUAAUGUUGGCUCUUUCUCAUGCAGUAGAAAAGCUCUCCAAUCUCUCAGUGGCUCCAUUAGGCAGAGAUCAGGUCAUCAGUAAAAAUGAUUGUUCACAAGUAAUUCUUUUACAGGACCCCUUUUAUAAUUUUCCGGAAAGGCUUUCAUAAUUUUCAUGCCUUCUGCUUUCGUUAUGUGGACUUAGAAAUAAUUUAAGGUAUAUAGACUAUAGCAGCCAAACAUGUGUGGUGUCUUAUGGAUAGCUGACUGAAUAUGUAUGGUUAGUAGCUCAAAUGCUAUAACAUAUCGUUCAGUUAAAAUAAAAGCUAAAUAAAUGUUGAAAUUCUGGUUAUUAACAUAUACUUUUGUCUUUUCCCAUGUCAGGUGACUUCGUCUUUCCUCACCCCUGUUCCUAUAGAAGGCACUCAAAGUACUGUCAAAUUAGCGCCGCAAGGAGUUACUUAUAGACGACAUUUUGCCCAUGAUUAUAGCCAAUUUCUCAUCUGAACUUAUUUAAUUGUGCUGUCUGACAUAUAUUUCUUAUCUUCCCCGAGGCCACUUUUAGCUGAUAUUAUCCAGAUAGAGAAUGUCGAUGAGCUCUGUAAAGUAUUGGUUCUAGUAUUAAGGCAAGCUGCCGGAACAUUUGUAGGUAUUGUUUUUCUCUGCAGAAGAAUAAUCAUAGCUAUGAUCCUAAUAUGUGAUUCGUUAUGCUAAAUGGUUUUCUGUUUGCUAGCUCACAUUCUUCUGGUAAGUUGAUUUGCCAUCAAACUAUUAGGAAGUACAGCAUAGAAUAGAGAGACCUUGUCACAUUCAGUUCAAGGGAAUGCUUUGUUACUCCACCUAAAGAAAAUUUGCACAUACCUUAAAAGUAGAACUCACUAUCUGACACCAGGUGCAAAUCUUCUCAGUUAGUACCAAGUGAUUGCAAGUUGCUUAGAAGAAGCCUUCGAUGUUUGCUUCUGUUUUGGCUGAGAACUCACACGUACAGAACUUUUAUUGCCAGUGGUAUAUUUCAUUGAAGGAUUUAAUGGCGAAACAUGCAUAUAUCUUAUCAGGGUGUAUAUGUUCUCUGAAUCUCACAACUAUUUCGUAUUCAGGUGUUCAGGAGAACACAACAGAAAAUUAGAUCGAUCAGAGAGUUGCCUUUGUUCCACAAACCAUGACACGGAAGCAAUUCAGAAACAACAUGAUGAACAAGUGUGCUCAAAAGAAAACAGUUUAACCACAGUUACUGCAAUUCUCUCAGUCGCCAAGCAGAAAUUGCCAGACACUUACAAAGAGCAAGAGAAGCGUAUUCUGAAGAUUUUGCGUGAGGUUGUGAACCGCGGAAGACUUCAUAGUGGGUGCCAGCAGAUCAUCAAGUUCUGUAGAUACAGUACAACAGCAGCCAUUAUCCAAAUAAGAGACGCUGAAACCAUCUAAACCUGUAGUUAUUUUCUGGCUCUUUGUAUUUGUUCGUUAUCAGCACUGCUGCAAAUAAGUAUCCAUAUUUAACAGCUCUUGGUUUCUGCAGAAGAGAAGCUCUCUUGGAUGUCAUCCAAGUUCCACGAGCGAACCUCUGUCGGCAGCAGCUGCAGCUCGUCCGUAUCAAGGGUUGCAGAGGUUGCCAGGAUGGGGCAAACAAUCCGACAAGCGCUCCAUUCUCCAGCAGGUAUCAAAUCACCAGGUCUUUUGUCAAUGGAUACGUCUCAAUCCAAUAACUGAACUGCGAUGAGCAGCCCAGUGCCAUGAGCAUAAUGCUGCAGCCAAAAUGAUGAUUUAAUUUUCUGCACAAAAAGGCCGCAACGCAACGCAAAACGAAGGCACCACCUCCCAAGUGCUCCCCAACUACUUACCCAAACACCGCAUAUCCGAUCGACCUCCCGUCAUCGUUCCUCGACACCAUGGCCCAAGGCCAAGAAAGCAAGUGCACGAGUUGGACGAUAGGCGUGACAGCGAUAGUUAUCAUGAUAGGUAUUUUUGCUCCUCUUGCGUGGUACGCCGAGAGGCCAGCUGACACGACGUACGAGGCGACCAUCACCAGCGUGGGCGGCCUGGACCCGGCCCUGGAUCUCCACGGCGACCGGCAGGCGCUCAGCCCGGUGUUCGGCAUCACCGUGCGCGUCGACAGCACCCGCAACAAGGUCUUCAAGAAGCGCAUCGGCGGCGCCGGCUCCUCCGUGGUGGUGUCCUACGGGGACGCGCUGCUCGCCAAGGGCGCCGUGCCGGAGCUCUGCGUGCACACGUCAGGGGUGGGAGAGGUGGCGGCCGAGGCGUGGGGCUUGAACGUGCAGGUGCCUCAGUUCCUCCGGGACCGGCUGGCCGGCGAGAUAGAGAGCGGCCAGGCGGUGGUGGACGUGGCGGUGCGGACUCCCGUGGGGUGCUACAUAAACGGAUGCUUGGACGCGGUGCUUGUCUGCAAGGCCAGGAUCCAGGGCGGUUCUUCUCCGUGUUUUUCUAUGUAGAGAGAGGCUAUCAGCGGCACGGGCGCAAACGGAUGGUUUCGAGCGUUUUUUUGCGGUUUAUUUUAUUUUUGCUUAGGAUAGCAUGAAGGGGUUUUUGUUUUCAAUCAAGCACCAUCUUUUAUAGUGGAUCCAAAUUUUGUAUUCUCUAUCAAGAACUGUGUUUAACAGUUGAUCUGAUUUUUGUAUUUGCAAUCAAGAACUGUGUUUUAUAGUGGAUCUGGAUUACUACCCGCAAAAAAGAGUAUAUUAUACUACAAUAAAUGCAUACAUUCCCUCCGUCACAUAAUGCGUUCAUCACUUUUCGUGAAAACCAAAUAUCACAAAUUUGAUCAAGUUUAUAGAAAAAAUAAUACAAAACAUAUACUAUAUGAGAUAUAUUUCAUGAUGAAUCUAAUGGUAUUGAUUUGGUAUAGGAAAAUUAUAUAUAUCCAUAAUACAAAAUAUAUAUUGUAUUAAUAUUCUGGAUGAAUCUAAUGGUAUUGAUUUGAUAUUAUAGGUGUUGAUAAAUAUAUUUAUAAACUUGAUCAAAGUCCAAAUAUGCUAAAUGGAGGACGAGCUCCAUGGAGCUCUUUUUUAUCUGAAAACAUAAUAAUAAUAAUAUUAUUAUUAUUAUUAAAUCAUAUUUUGAAGUUUCAAAAUAUUCUAAAAAAAAUCACACACGACACGUGUGUAAAUUUUCAAGAUGAUAUACAUUAUGGUGAGAGCUACACAAGAAAGACAAAAUCAUGAUUUUGAAAAUGAUGAACAAUAUACACACUGUUCACUAUUAAAAAUACACCAAACAAUAAUGUAUUUCAUCUUCAGACUUUACAGGCAUGUAAAAUACAUCCCUAUGAACCCGUAUGAUUGUUUUUCAGUUUUUUUUUUAAUUUCAAAAUGUGAUUUUUUUAAAAAGAGCUCCAUGGAGCUCGUCCUCUGAAAUGCCCCACUCAUCAAAGUUUUAAAGUUUUAAAAAAAUCUCAAUUUUUUACGUGUUCAUAUGGAUGUAUUCUACAUGUGUAUAAAGUCUGACAAUGAAAUACAUUAUCGUGAAAGCUACACAAAAAAGACAAAUCCGUGCAUUUUUAUAGUGAAUAGUGCACAUACUCCCUCCGUUCCAUGUUACUCGUCGCUGAUUUAGUACUUCUCACCGCUUUUAGACCACAGUUUCAUCUUCUUAGUUUUCUCUCAUUAUAAUGUAUAUAAUCUUAAAAUUUUACACACAUGUAGUAUACAUAGUAUGAACGUGUGUGAUUUUUUUAGAUUUUUUUAAAACUUUCAAACGUGAUUUUCAAAAUUUUCAAAUAAAGGGACUCCAUGGAGCUCGCCCUCCAUUUUGCGUAUUUGAUUUAAUACCCACAACAUUUUGGGACGGAGGGAGUACAACGGUAGUUGUCCAACUAAUUUUUUGAUAUAACUAUUUCUAGUUCGACAUAAAAACUCAUCCAAUUUGAUAAGUACAAAUUCAUGAAAAAUAUCCUUAUAUGAUUUCAGAUGUCAAUUAAUAUCAACAGUAAACUAACCAUCUGUAAAUCAAAUGAGAGUUUGCUCGAGUGCUAGGUCCUUUGUCUUCGACCACUCUUUGCCUCCCACGCUUUUUCGGUGGUCAAUUUUAGUGUCCGGCGGCAAGUAAAAAUACCAUGUCCUACACGUAUUGAUGGAUCGGUAUUUGACACUCCAUGGUUGUGAUGGUAGGCGCUCUAUUAUUUUUAUAGACUAAUCUGAAACAUAAUUUAUUGAAAAAUAAUAACCACUCCAAAUUAUCUAAGUUUGACCAUCCAGAAACUAAGUAUUACUAGCAUCCAAAAUAUCGAAGUUAUAUUAUUUGAUUUAUCAUCAAGCAUAUUUUUAAAAUGCGUUAUUUUUAUAUGAGACACUAUGUUUAUAUUUUUUAACAGUAAAAUAACCAUGUUGGAGAUUAUGUCAUGUAGAAAUAUACUUAUAUUUUGGGAAGGAGACGAAAACUUGUGACUCUAAUUUUAGUUAGGAACACAUGCCUGAUUGUAACUUACUUCGAUCAAUUGUGAGUUGUGCAAUUGAUAUUAAUUAAAUAUAUUUAAUUAUGCAAACAAAAAUCAGUCUAAUCAGAUAUGGAGUAAACUUUGCUACGAAGUUAGAGUAAGAUAACUCACCACAUUGAUCCACAAGUUUAAACCGAAGCCAAAAACAUAUAGCCCAAGAGUUAGCAUUCUUGCAAGCAGAAAAAUAAUGGUCUUCUAUUUCUCAAAUGAUAGUUAGUCGCCUUUUUAAAAUACCGGUAAGACCUAUCUAAUUUAUUAAUUGUUAUUUGUGCAGGUACAAAAUUAUUAGAAGAUCUUUGUUGGAUGGUUAUGAAUUUUGGUUAAGAAAUAAUUAGCAAAAUUCCGUAUGGUUAUGAAUAAAUAUAUUAGCAAAUUUCCAUACAUUAUAAACGAACCAUUGGUUUAUAGUCGGGAGGGUGGUUGUCCCCUAGAUUUAACACUAUAUCUUAGUAAGAAGGAGAAAAAAAAUCCAGUGACGGACGAUCUGCCAUCAAUAGGCUCCCUCUCCCCUUGAGUGGGCGAGUCGAUUUGAGACAAAGUUGAACACUUCGUGCGAGACAUUGUGAGAUCAUGAGAGCGGCUCCUCAGUUUGAGGUCCAAUCUCCUCACCGUCUUGAACCUCUUCAUUUGAGUUCAUCUCUCUUUGCUUCAAGCCUAUUUUUGUGAGCGAGAGAUCUAUGCGUUUUUGAGAGAGUUUGAUUGAAGAUCUUUUGAGAGGUUCAUACAAGUGACUUUGCUUCCCUUGUUACUCUUGGAGGUGUGUCCUAGACGGCUAGAAGUUACAUGAGAGCCUUCAAGCUGUUGUGUAGGAAUCAAGAAGUUUGGAAAUGACCGAUGAUCAUCUUCUUCAUGCAAGAUCAAUCUUGAGCCACUCCUUUGACCUUUGUGGUAUAGAUUCAUGGUGGAAUAGGUGGGCAUGCACUUUGUGGGACCUUUUUGGGCGACGUUGUCAGGACCAUAAUGGUCAUAGGAUUUUGUAUUUGAGCCUCCACCAACAAGGAGUAGGAUAGACCAAAUUCCAAACCCCGGGAAAGCGUCAUUGGGCCACAUCAUGUUUGCUUCCUCCCUAAACUUCACUCCUACUUGCCUGCAGGUUUACCUUUCACAAUCAUGCUCUUUGUAGACUCAUAUGUAGAUGUUCGUAGGACUAAACUAGUGAAGACUAGAACUUGACCCACUAAAAUUUGGAGUGGAAUUUUUGCACAGAAACAUCCCCUCCACACACACACAUCCCCUCCUAAUCCGUUUAACUCAAUCCUUUAAGUCCUCGUGUUGACCUCACAUGUUUGUGUACCGACUUGAAUAUUUUUCAAUAUUUGAGCAUUUGAGCAUGAUGUGGAUAUUUUGGAACAUCUUGACAGUUUUCCCCUUAUGUGCAAAUUAAAUAUAGACAAAACACCGUGGAAUGAAAACCAAGAAAAUCAUAGACUUGUAGUUCACUUACAUCGAUAAACUUCCUCUAAGAUGUUAACCCUGUGAAUUGGAUAGAUAAGAAUAGAUUGAUAAGGGCACUUGGACUUUGAAAAUAGUGAUUUUUUAUUUGGAGUUAAUACGGAAAAUUUUAAUUCUAAGAUUAGAGGACCUAAAUGUAGUCAUUCGGAGGUGCCGAGCCACACGGGAACCAGCCAGUAGCUCCUUCAAUGCAUCUAAGCAGUUCUGCCUUGGAGGAUUCGAGGUGCGCCUAGUAAUGCGAUGAUCCAUUCGAAGGCACCGAUCGAUGCAUGCUCGGAGGGGUCCAAAAUAUACUACAAAAAAACCAAGAUCUACCUAAUCAAUUUUAUCCACAAUUGAGGAUAAAAUACAAAAUAACCNNNNNNNNNNNNNNNNNNNNNNNNNNNNNNNNNNNNNNNNNNNNNNNNNNNNNNNNNNNNNNNNNNNNNNNNNNNNNNNNNNNNNNNNNNNNNNNNNNNNNNNNNNNNNNNNNNNNNNNNNNNNNNNNNNNNNNNNNNNNNNNNNNNNNNNNNNNNNNNNNNNNNNNNNNNNNNNNNNNNNNNNNNNNNNNNNNNNNNNNNNNNNNNNNNNNNNNNNNNNNNNNNNNNNNNNNNNNNNNNNNNNNNNNNNNNNNNNNNNNNNNNNNNNNNNNNNNNNNNNNNNNNNNNNNNNNNNNNNNNNNNNNNNNNNNNNNNNNNNNNNNNNNNNNNNNNNNNNNNNNNNNNNNNNNNNNNNNNNCCUCGCAAGCAAUCAUAAUAAGGACCCGAUGGGGGUGUCCAUGUUUGCAUAGGUCCGUGGGGGCACCACAACAACAAGGAAGAUUGGUGGCGACAAUGGGAAGAACUGACUGGAGGUCGUCCAGAAGGUUGAGGGUGAUUGUUGGAGGAGUAGUACGCGAUGGUUUGGCAGAGAGGAAGAGAGGGAGGGAGGGAGGGAGAGAGAGAGAGACAGAGAGAGAACAAUUGACGAAAGCUCAGUAGAGGUUUCAAGUUGUUUCAGAGUAGUCGAUGGCUCGAGGUGAAAUUUGUUCAGUGUCUUCAAAGAUCAGAUAACGAAAUAGAUUUGCAAUAUGUCCAUGUCUAGAGGUUUUGUGCUCGGAUGUUCCAAACAAGAAUACAAAAGGUUUUCCCGCUAAGUAUGUUUAGUCACAUGCACAUGUAGAAGAAUUUCAUUGUACAUUAGAAGCAUGCAAGAUAAUUCGCUCCUUAAAUUGUUGACAAACAUCUCGUCAAGGGACUUUGUAAAGUGUCAUCAAGUGUGUAUCCUUCCCAUAAUUACCGAGGGUAAUGUCAACUUCAUUUACAUGGUUAGAUGGUCUCAAAUGAAGUGGCGAUGGAUGACAAUGCAUUUAGUUCAGGAUUGUGGGCUAUUUUGAUCGCACUCACCAUCACCUUGGAAUGUAAUGUUGUUAAGAGAUGAACCAUAGUCUCCAUGACUUUUCCUCAUCCAUAUAGUUGAGCACAAUAAUAAGUGGCUGAAAUGUACUCGACUUCGUUGUUGUAUAGUGAUACGUCUCCAACAUAUCUACUUUUCCAAACACUUUUGCCCUUGUUUUGGACUCUAACUUGCAUGAUUUGAAUGAAACUAACCCAGACUAACGCUAUUUUCAGCAGAAUUACCAUGGUGUUAUUUAUGUGCAGGAGCAAACGUUCUCGGAAUGACCUGAAACUUCACGGAGCCACUUUUCAGAAAAUAAGAAAAAUACCUGCAAAAGAUGAAGGCCAGGGGACCCACCACCUUGCCACGAGGGUGGGGGGCGUGCCCCCCACCUCGUGGCCCCCCUGUUGCGUCUCCGACUCUAACUCCACCUUCAUAUAUUGAGUUUCGAUGAGAAAAAAAUCAGGGAGAAGAAAUCAUCGCGUUUUACGAUACGGAGCCGCCGCCAAGCCCUAAAACCUCUCGGGAGGGCUGAUAUGGAGUCCGUUCGGGGCUCCAGAGAGGGGAAUCCGUCGCCAUCGUCAUCAUCAACCAUCCUCCAUCACCAAUUUCAUGAUGCUCACCGCCGUGCGUGAGUAAUUCCAUCGUAGGCUUGCUGGACGGUGAUGGGUUGGAUGAGAUCUAUCAUGUAAUCGAGUUAGUUUUGUUAGGGUUUGAUCCCUAGUGUCCACUAUGUUCUGAGAUUGAUGUUGCUAUGACUUUGCUAUGCUUAAUGCUUGUCACUAGGGCCCGAGUGCCAUGAUUUCAGAUCUGAACCUAUUAUGUUUUCAUCAAUAUAUGAGUGUUCUUGAUCCUAUCUUGCAAGUCUAUAGUCACCUAUUAUGUGUUAUGAUCCGUUAACCCCGAAGUGACAAUAAUCGGGAUACUCCGGUGAUGACCGUAGUUUGAGGAGUUCAUGUAUUCACUAUGUGUUAAUGCUUUGUUCCGGUUCUCUAUUAAAAGGAGGCCUUAAUAUCCCUUAGUUUCCGUAAGGACCCCGCUGCCACGGGAGGGUAGGACAAAAGAUGUCAUGCAAGUUCUUUUCCAUAAGUACGUAUGACUAUAUUCGGAAUACAUGCCUACAUU
Molecule: long non-coding RNA, 12125 nt
Filed under: Triticum aestivum (bread wheat)
Lineage: Eukaryota; Viridiplantae; Streptophyta; Magnoliopsida; Poales; Poaceae
Description: long non-coding RNA (TAES_LNC021122)
Source: RNAcentral